CUGUGCUCCUCGAAGAUCAGCUUCUACUUGCUCCUCCAGCACAUUGAUCAUGAGCUGGAGGUGGAUGGAGGGGAAGAGAUGCAAGUUCAGGCUUUAGCAGAACUUUUAUAUGUUGGUUUUGUUGAUCAGUGAAGAGAUGAUGGGAGAUCACAGAAUCACAGGGUGUGCUCAGUUGGAAGGCACCCACAGGGAUCACCGAGGUAUAAAACUGUGUUUGAGAUGUUUCAAUGAUGUUCUGAGCUGAUGUUCAGAAAAGAACAAUUCAGACUGACUGCUAGUGCAAGCACCCCUAU
Long non-coding RNA from Ficedula albicollis (Collared flycatcher), 293 nucleotides. RefSeq lists it as uncharacterized. The transcript is spliced from 3 exons. The record is from RefSeq and is a predicted model, not a curated record. NCBI's taxonomy places the organism in Eukaryota, Metazoa, Chordata, Aves, Passeriformes, Muscicapidae.